RNAcentral lists this ribosomal RNA (1147 nucleotides) under uncultured bacterium. RNAcentral's name for it is "partial 16S ribosomal RNA". It matches the Rfam family "Bacterial small subunit ribosomal RNA", at positions 8 to 1240 of the family's 1533-position model. The record is from RNAcentral.
AAAGUUUGAUCCUGGCUCAGGACGAACGCUGGCGGCGUGCCUAACAYAUGCAAGUCGUACGCUUGUAAAAGCGUGGCGAACGGGUGAGUAUAAGCAAGGAACAUGCCUUAUUCCGGGAAAUACCCAGCCGAAAGGUUGGCUAAUGUCCCAUGGUCUCGCAAGAGUAAAGCUCCGGCGGAAUAAGAUUGGCCUUGUCCCUAUCAGCUAGUUGGUGAGGUAAAGGCUUACCAAGGCUUCGACGGGUAGCUGGUCUGAGAGGAUGAUCAGCCACAAUGGGACUGAGACACGGCCCAUACACCUACGGGUGGCAGCAGUUGGGAAUAUUGCGCAAUGGACGACAGUCUGACGCAGCGACGCCGCGUGAAGGAUGAAGGUUUUCGGACCGUAAACUUCUUUUAUAGGGGACGAUUGUGACGGUACCCUAUGAAUAAGGGCCUGCUAACUACGUGCCAGCAGCAGCGGUAAUACGUAGGGCCCGAGCGUUGUCCGGAUUUAUUGGGCGUAAAGAGUUCGUAGGUGGUUAUGUAAGUCGGAUUUUAAAUUCCCAGGCUCAACUUGGGUGCUGGAUUCGAAACUACAUAACUUGAGAAUAUCAGGGGUAAGUGGAAUUAGCGGUGUAGCAGUGAAAUGCGUUGAUAUCGCUAAGAACACCAAUGGCGAAGGCAGCUUACUAUGAUUUUUCUGACACUGAGGAACGAAAGCGUGGGGAGMGAACGGGAUUAGAUACCCCGGUAGUCCACGCCGUAAACGAUGCACACUAUGUAUCAGAAGUAUCGACCCUUCUUGUACCGAAGCUAACGCGUUAAGUGUGCCGCCUGGGGAGUACGGCCGCAAGGCUAAAACUCAAAGGAAUUGACGGGGACUCGCACAAGCGGKGAGYAUGUGGUUUAUUCGAUGACGMACGAGAACCUUACCAGGUUUGACAUCUAGAGAACCCGGCARAAACGUCGGGUKCYCGCAAGGGAGCUCUAAGAMAGGUGUUGCACGGAUGUCGUCAGCUCGKGUCRUGAGAAUGUUGCCUUARSKGUCACGAGCGAACUAUWUCCUGKKGUUGAUUAMCCGGAGACUGCYUCGUUACGGGAAGAAGCUAACGASUCAAUSGSCGKGCCYUUACCCUGGCUUAMCGCCWUGUCUWMAUGGGSCGAUC